GACGAACGCUGGCGGCGUGCCUAAUACAUACAAGUCGAGCGGACAGAUGGGAGCUUGCUCCCUGAUGUUAGCGGCGGACGGGUGAGUAACACGUGGGUAACCUGCCUGUAAGACUGGGAUAACUCCGGGAAACCGGGGCUAAUACCGGAUGGUUGUUUGAACCGCAUGGUUCAAACAUAAAAGGUGGCUUCGGCUACCACUUACAGAUGGACCCGCGGCGCAUUAGCUAGUUGGUGAGGUAACGGCUCACCAAGGCAACGAUGCGUAGCCGACCUGAGAGGGUGAUCGGCCACACUGGGACUGAGACACGGCCCAGACUCCUACGGGAGGCAGCAGUAGGGAAUCUUCCGCAAUGGACGAAAGUCUGACGGAGCAACGCCGCGUGAGUGAUGAAGGUUUUCGGAUCGUAAAGCUCUGUUGUUAGGGAAGAACAAGUACCG
RNAcentral lists this ribosomal RNA (440 nucleotides) under Bacillus subtilis. RNAcentral's name for it is "bacterial SSU rRNA". It matches the Rfam family "Bacterial small subunit ribosomal RNA", at positions 28 to 458 of the family's 1533-position model. The record is from RNAcentral. Lineage: Bacteria; Bacillati; Bacillota; Bacilli; Caryophanales; Bacillaceae.